CCAGGCCACUAGUGCCGCUGCAUGGGCAAC
RNAcentral lists this small RNA (30 nucleotides) under Bombyx mori (domestic silkworm). RNAcentral's name for it is "ovarian small RNA-13577". Lineage: Eukaryota; Metazoa; Arthropoda; Insecta; Lepidoptera; Bombycidae. The record is from RNAcentral.